UACCAGCACCCCGAGUGGUCGGGACGUUUAUUGGGCCUAAAGCAUCCGUAGCCGGUUCUACAAGUCUUCCGUUAAAUCCACCUGCUUAACAGAUGGGCUGCGGAAGAUACUAUAGAGCUAGGAGGCGGGAGAGGCAAGCGGUACUCGAUGGGUAGGGGUAAAAUCCGUUGAUCCAUUGAAGACCACCAGUGGCGAAGGCGGCAUCCUGGACCGGCAUUGACGCUGAGGCGCGAAAGCCAGGGGAGCAAACCGG
This 253-nucleotide ribosomal RNA is filed under the name uncultured bacterium. RNAcentral's name for it is "partial 16S ribosomal RNA". It matches the Rfam family "Archaeal small subunit ribosomal RNA", at positions 474 to 727 of the family's 1478-position model. The record is from RNAcentral.